Molecule: ribosomal RNA, 498 nt
Filed under: uncultured bacterium
Lineage: Bacteria
Description: partial 16S ribosomal RNA
Rfam family: Bacterial small subunit ribosomal RNA
Source: RNAcentral
GAUGAACGCUGGCGGCGUGCCUAAUACAUGCAAGUCGAGCGAACAGACGAGGAGCUUGCUCCUCUGACGUUAGCGGCGGACGGGUGGGUAACACGUGGAUAACCUACCUAUAAGACUGGGAUAACUUCGGGAAACCGGAGCUAAUACCGGAUAAUAUAUUGAACCGCAUGGUUCAAUAGUGAAAGACGGUUUUGCUGUCACUUAUAGAUGGAUCCGCGCCGCAUUAGCUAGUUGGUAAGGUAACGGCUUACCAAGGCAACGAUGCGUAGCCGACCUGAGAGGGUGAUCGGCCACACUGGAACUGAGACACGGUCCAGACUCCUACGGGAGGCAGCAGUAGGGAAUCUUCCGCAAUGGGCGAAAGCCUGACGGAGCAACGCCGCGUGAGUGAUGAAGGUCUUCGGAUCGUAAAACUCUGUUAUUUAGGGAAGAACAAAUGUGUAAGUAACUAUGCACGUCUUGACGGUACCUAAUCAGAAAGCCACGGCUAACUACGUG